AUAUUUAAGUUGCUGCAGUUAAAAAGCUCGUAGUUGGAUUUCGGAUGGGUACCGUCGGUCCGCCGUUUCGGUGUGUUACUGGCGGCGCCCAUCUUGCUGUCGGGGACGGGCUCCUGGGCUUAACUGUCCGGGACUCGGAGUCGACGAGGUUACUUUGAGUAAAUUAGAGUGUUCAAAGCAGGCCUACGCUCUGAAUACAUUAGCAUGGAAUAACACGAUAGGACUCUGGCCUAUCUUGUUGGUCUGUAGGACCGGAGUAAUGAUUAAGAGGGACAGUCGGGGGCAUUCGUAUUUCAUUGUCA
This 302-nucleotide ribosomal RNA is filed under the name Ice core clone 105-8. RNAcentral's name for it is "SSU rRNA". It matches the Rfam family "Eukaryotic small subunit ribosomal RNA", at positions 601 to 907 of the family's 1831-position model. The record is from RNAcentral. RNAcentral also lists the same sequence under 1 other name.